This 139-nucleotide small nucleolar RNA is filed under the name Setaria italica (foxtail millet). RNAcentral describes it as "Small nucleolar RNA Z247". It matches the Rfam family "Small nucleolar RNA Z247". Rfam says of the family: Z247 is a member of the C/D class of snoRNA which contain the C (UGAUGA) and D (CUGA) box motifs. Most of the members of the box C/D family function in directing site-specific 2'-O-methylation of substrate RNAs. The record is from Rfam by way of RNAcentral. Lineage: Eukaryota; Viridiplantae; Streptophyta; Magnoliopsida; Poales; Poaceae.
CCUAUCGACAAUGAUGAGAUGAUAUCCUUUAUUCUGAAUGGUCUUGAUUUGGAAUAUAAUCCCAUUGUUUUUUCUGUUUUGGGUUGGUCAGAUCCAAUCUCUAUCAAUGAUCUCUAUGCUCAAAUCAUGGCAUAUGAGA